This 31-nucleotide non-coding RNA is filed under the name Homo sapiens (human). The record is from RNAcentral. Lineage: Eukaryota; Metazoa; Chordata; Mammalia; Primates; Hominidae.
UGGAAGAGAAGAUCCAAGUCAAGGAAGCAGC